AUACGUAGGGUGCGAGCGUUAAUCGGAAUUACUGGGCGUAAAGCGUGCGCAGGCGGUUGUGUAAGACAGAUGUGAAAUCCCCGGGCUCAACCUGGGAACUGCGUUUGUGACUGCACAACUAGAGUACGGCAGAGGGAGGUGGAAUUCCGCGUGUAGCAGUGAAAUGCGUAGAGAUGCGGAGGAACACCGAUGGCGAAGGCAGCCUCCUGGGCCAGUACUGACGCUCAUGCACGAAAGCGUGGGGAGC
RNAcentral lists this ribosomal RNA (247 nucleotides) under uncultured bacterium. RNAcentral describes it as "partial 16S ribosomal RNA". It matches the Rfam family "Bacterial small subunit ribosomal RNA", at positions 523 to 769 of the family's 1533-position model. The record is from RNAcentral.